Molecule: long non-coding RNA, 1060 nt
Organism: Pomacea canaliculata
Lineage: Eukaryota; Metazoa; Mollusca; Gastropoda; Architaenioglossa; Ampullariidae
Exons: 3
Source: RefSeq, a predicted model, not a curated record
GACACCGUCCUAUUAUUUAGUGGUUUUAUCAGGUACACUAGUUUUCUCUUCCUUAUCUGUGUGUGUGUGUGUGUGAGAUUCAAGAUACAAUUUAUUUAUUCAUUCCAGGGUCAUUGCCCUAUGGAAAGGGGGACAACAAAUGAUAUGACAAUCAAGCUAUCAAUAUACAAUGAAGCAGGAGACAAAAAAAAGUUUCAUAAUAUUUAACCAAAUAUUAGGAAAUGAAAAUGGAUGUGGUGCCGUCCUUUGAUAAAGUCGUUUCCGCCAACCAUCCGCCAUUGAUUACCGCCUUCGUCUGAGGUCAACAUCAUGACUCCACACACUCUCUCACACAGAGGAUGCUGCAGAUCCCGGUUACAGGCCCUAGCACACGCACAGAGGUUGUCCGUGAAGCGGGUACGCAGACAUGGCAGGCGGGUAGAAGCUGGAGGUGGUGGCAGACUGGUUCACAUGAAGGGCACGAUGUCGACUUGACCUCUCUCCCUCCUCCUUCCGUACCUUUGAACCAGAGGUUGAUCAUUCCUCAAAUCCACAACUCCAUCGCCUGAGUCGCUGCUUAGCAAUUGAAAACGCAGGUUUGGGAGGGACCUGCAGGUUCUUUGCGACCUCCGCGAGGUCUGCACCUGAUUACGAAUAGUGGACAUCCUUACAGAUUUUCUUCCGAUUUUUUGGCUGCCUCCUUCGGUCCAUCGUGGUAGAUCCUGGCUGCAGAGGCAUCAGAGGCGGUAAUUAUGAACCGAAAAUCUCGAAGGUAAUUGUUGGUGUGGAGUGGGGUCUUCUUGCACUGGCUCGUAGGAUGGAAGAUAGUCUGAAAUUUCUUUUCUCUUGUGAUUGGUCUGUAGAUGUCGACCGUCGGGGACCAUAAAGUGUCUCUCGCCUAGUUUCCAAUGAAACAAACGUGUUGCUAUUAUAAAUCAACGUUUUAAGUGUUAGUUUUAUGUAAGCCAUCGGAUUUUCAUUAGAGUUUGGAGAGUAAAUGCAUUUUUAAAAGUAUUUGUUCCGGAUUUUUGUUCCUUGUUUUCUUUUUAUCAGAAUAUAACGAUUUCAGAUAAAUCUUCGU